GAUGGAGAACGUAGCGAAAUGCGAUAAGUAAUGUGAAUUGCAGAAUUCAGUGAAUCAUCGAAUCUUUGAACGCACAUUGCGCCCGCCAGUAUUCUGGCGGGCAUGCCUGUUCGAGCGUCAUUACAACCCUCAGGCCCCCGGGCCUGGCGUUGGGGAUCGGCGGAGCCCCCCGUGGGCACACGCCGUCCCCCAAAUGCAGUGGCGGUCCCGCCGCAGCUUCCAUCGCGUAGUAGCUAACACCUCGCGACUGGAGAGCGGCGCGGCCACGCCGUAAAACACCCAACUCUUCUGAAGUUGACCUCGAAUCAGGUAGGAAUACCCGCUGAACUUAAGCAUAUCAAUAAGCGGAGGA
Molecule: unclassified non-coding RNA, 352 nt
Filed under: soil metagenome
Description: partial contains 5.8S ribosomal RNA, internal transcribed spacer 2, and large subunit ribosomal RNA
Rfam family: 5.8S ribosomal RNA (bases 1-120)
Source: RNAcentral